Long non-coding RNA from Salvelinus sp. IW2-2015, 863 nucleotides. RefSeq lists it as uncharacterized. The record is from RefSeq and is a predicted model, not a curated record. Lineage: Eukaryota; Metazoa; Chordata; Actinopteri; Salmoniformes; Salmonidae.
AAUAAUGUGCUUUUACAGAUCUGUGAAAUGAGCUCAGUCGCUCUUGCGGUGACGGUUUACAGAAAACGUAAAACAUCUGACUUGCGCAAGGUUUAAUCUGUAAUGCAUUGAUACUCACCUAUGUCGACUGAAACGAAACAAAAUAUCUAUGUUGUAUUAAUUGUACCUUUGCUUUUACAAAUGAUUCAUCCACACUGAAUUAUGGAAGACCAAACAACUCCUGUUCGUGAACAGCACAUGUUCAACAUUGUCAAUCUUCAGCGACAAUGUUGGAAAGACAUAAGGAGUGUCCAACAAUGACAAGCUCACUGUCAGACAAUGCAGGUGUACCCACUCCUGAGGGGCUGAUCUCCAUUUACUGCCGGGGGAUGCCAUCCUCUGCCUCAGCUCAACUUCUACCUGGCCCUCUCUGUCUUUAAGAUGGCAGGGAUCGCUCAGGACAUCUAUGUCCGCCACCUCCUGGGCAAUGCCAGUGCUCCCAAUGCUGCCCAGUUUGGCCAGAGUGUGGAGCCGUUGGCCCAGGUUGGGAUGCAGAUUGCAGAAAGGAGGUGGUGGCCCACUGGAAAGCAGAGUGUGGCCUGGCCAUAGACUAGACUCUCCUGCUGACCCUGCAUUCUGCUCACACCCUGGAUACGCUGGGCAGCAGGACCGCCGGGAAACAGCUAACACACACCUAAUUAGCAGAACAAACCGUGUAAUUGUCUCCCAAAUUGUCUCCCAAACUGUUACGUGACAGUACUACAUAUACUGGUAUAUAUAUACUGGUGCCCUGUGUAUAUAGACAAGACUCAUUAUGUAUUAUUAUUUUUAUUAUUACAUUUUGUACUUUUCUAUUAUUUCUCUAUUUUCUUUCUCUCUGUAUU